RNAcentral lists this ribosomal RNA (463 nucleotides) under uncultured bacterium. RNAcentral's name for it is "bacterial SSU rRNA". It matches the Rfam family "Bacterial small subunit ribosomal RNA", at positions 157 to 653 of the family's 1533-position model. The record is from RNAcentral.
CUUGUGCUAAUACCGGAUAAGCCCUUACGGGGAAAGUUUUAACGCCGAAAGAUGAGCCCGCACUUGAUUAGCUAGUUGGUAAGGUAAAAGCUUACCAAGGCAAUGAUCAAUAGCUGUUCUUAGAGGAAGACCAGCCACAUUGGGACUGAUACACGGCCCAGACUCCUACGGGAGGCAGCAGUGGGGAAUCUUGCACAAUGGGGGAAACCCUGAUGCAGCGAUGCCGCGUGAGUGAAGAAGGCCCUUGGGUUGUAAAACUCUUUCGUCGGGGAAGAAAAUGACUGUACCCGAAUAAGAAGGUCCGGCUAACUUCGUGCCAGCAGCCGCGGUAAUACGAAGGGACCCUAGCGUAGUUCGGAACUACUGGGCUUAAAGAGCUCGUAGGUGGUUAAAAAAGUUGAUGGUGAAAUCCCAAGGCUCAACCUUGGAACUGCCAUCAAAACUUUUUAGCUAGAGUGUGAUA